This 261-nucleotide ribosomal RNA is filed under the name Triticum aestivum (bread wheat). RNAcentral's name for it is "partial small subunit ribosomal RNA". The record is from RNAcentral. Lineage: Eukaryota; Viridiplantae; Streptophyta; Magnoliopsida; Poales; Poaceae.
AUGUAUUGCAUGGCCUUACAAGCAUUUGGAAGUGAGUUAAUGGCAAAUGCGGCAAUGCGUUGCGACCACAAGCAAGCUGAGGAGAAGUGUGCUUUUGUGUCCAUCAGCCAUGACUUUGGAGAGAGGAAGUCUGUAAGCACAGUUGUCAUCAUUGCUCUAAGGAAAUACCACGCAAAACCACAAAAUGGUGUCAUCACUUAUAGAUUUCUAGAUUCAUUAUCCUAUUAUGUUGUGCCAACUUCAUAUAGGAACUCAAAAUAA